CCAACAUCAUAAAAAAAGAUCCAAAUGAAAGGGAUCAUGUGGAAUUGUAGGGGGGUAGGCAAGAAGGGAAUGGCCACCUGCCUCUCUGAUAUGAUUAGUGACCAUUCUGUGGAUUUCCUGGGUCUUCAAGAGACCAUGAAAAAAAACUUUUCUCCUGGCUGUUUGAGGAGAAUUGAUCCUUUUAGUAUCUUUAGUUGGAACUGGAUUCCCUCUGUUGGGAAAUCUGGGGGUAUCCUGUGUGGU
Molecule: ribosomal RNA, 243 nt
Filed under: Triticum aestivum (bread wheat)
Lineage: Eukaryota; Viridiplantae; Streptophyta; Magnoliopsida; Poales; Poaceae
Description: partial small subunit ribosomal RNA
Source: RNAcentral